CUCCAGGCUAGAUAAGGUCUGUGCUCCUAAUUACACCCUUGAAAGAUUGUUGGCCAAGCCUUUGGCUGAAGGUGAAUGUAAGAAAUUCACCUUCAUUUAAUAAAAGGGGUUUUGCUGGGACAAAGAGUCGGCUUAGUGCUUUUGGGGGAAGCCGAGGUCAGAACAGGUUGGCUCUUGUUGAAGCAAUAC
Non-coding RNA from Pseudonaja textilis, 189 nucleotides. The record is from RefSeq and is a predicted model, not a curated record. Lineage: Eukaryota; Metazoa; Chordata; Lepidosauria; Squamata; Elapidae.